This 253-nucleotide ribosomal RNA is filed under the name uncultured bacterium. RNAcentral describes it as "partial 16S ribosomal RNA". It matches the Rfam family "Bacterial small subunit ribosomal RNA", at positions 524 to 776 of the family's 1533-position model. The record is from RNAcentral.
UACGGAGGGUGCGAGCGUUAAUCGGAAUUACUGGGCGUAAAGGGCGCGUAGGUGGUUUGAUAAGUCGGAUGUGAAAGCCCCGGGCUUAACCUGGGAAUUGCAUUCGAUACUGUCAGGCUAGAGUAUGGGAGAGGGAAGCGGAAUUCCCGGUGUAGCGGUGAAAUGCGUAGAUAUCGGGAGGAACAUCAGUGGCGAAGGCGGCUUCCUGGACCGAUACUGACACUGAGGCGCGAAAGCGUGGGGAGCAAACAGG